CUCCCUCACUCACUUGCUCCCCAGCUCCGGCCUCGUCGCUUCGCCGUGUCGCGUCUUGCAAGGGGGUUACGUGAAGGGGUGUCGGUGGGUGUGUGUUUAGCAAGUGUGUGCGUCACCCAUCACGCCCACACAUUCACCAGACAGUCACACGCCCGCCCCUGCACGCCCGCGCUAGGGUUUGUGGGCCCUGCCACCUUACCGCGCCUUAGAGUCGGCGGUGGCAGGUGUGAGUGCGUACCAUCCACCUGCGGCACCGUCUCCCCUCCAUCACUGCGUUCCUCCACCCUGGCCUUCUAUGCAACACUAACCUGACACAGAAAGGUAACACUUCCCAGGCCGCCCCGCCACUCAGCCGCGGCGCCCACCUGUAAUUUGUCAGAGAGCGACGUAAGCGUGAGGUGGUGAUUGCCUGCGCCGGGCCGACCCUCGUCGUGAUGGCGGGCGCGGCGAGGCGUGUGUGUGGCUCUGGUCUGGUGGCGGGCGCGCGGGGGCGAGCAGGAAACCACAGCGGCAGCAGCAUCAGGAGGAAAAGAAGAUGCGGCGUGGGAGUCGGCUUGACGGUGCUGUGGGUGGGGAUGACGGUGGGGCUGGCGCAAGGCUACCCCCAGGCCGGCGUGAUGGGCGUGGGCGGCUCCAAAGUGAUCAAGUGCCCCAGCCCCCUAGAGAUUGCCCCCUGCACUUGCCGGGAGAUGAAAAAAGGCAAGGACACCGGCCUUGACAUCGUUUGUGAUAACACGGACCACAAACAUGUACGUAACGCCCUCGACGUCCUCAAGAAGCAGCCUGUCAUGAUCUACUGGAUGAAGGUGCGCAACUGCAACCUCCCGCGCAUCCCCGACUACGUGUUCCUGGGCCUGGACGUCUACCACCUCAACAUCAUCCGUAGCAACGUGAGCGCCAUCGAGCGGUCGUCCCUCUCGGCCCUGGGCGGCGCGCUAGUGACCCUCGACCUCGCCAACAACAAGAUCCGGGAGGUCCCGACGAGUGCUCUGACGAUGCUGAAGAAACUCACCUUCCUCAACCUCAACUACAACCCGAUCAAUGUUCUUCUGGAGGGAGCGUUUGACGGCCUGGUGAUGCUGGAACGACUCUCCCUCUACGACAACCAGAUCCAGCACAUCAACGACAACGCCUUCAAGGGCAUCGGCAGGAGGCUGAUGCGCCUCAACCUGGGCAAGAACAUGCUGGACUACAUCCCCACCGACACCUUCCACCCCCUGACUAACCUCGAGGUGCUGGACCUCCACGAGAACCGCAUCACCCACAUCCCCGACGGCGCCUUCGAGGGUCUGCGCAAGCUGGACAUGCUGAAGCUGGAGCACAACCAGAUCACCACCAUCCAGGCCAACGUGUUCAGCGACCUCACGGUGCUCAACUCCCUCAACAUCGAGCACAACCUCAUCACCAACAUCAGCGACCGAGCCUUUGCCGGACUGGAGAGUAAUUUGGAAUGGCUUGAGCUCGGCCACAACCGCCUGGACCACAUCCCCUCCCACGCCCUCCGCCCCCUCCACAACCUUCGCCAGCUGGACCUGGACUCAAACCGCAUCACCCACGUGCAGGAGGACGCUUUCAGGGGCUACGGGGAUACCAUCAAGUACAUCCUGCUAGACAAGAACCACAUCAAAAGCAUCCCGCCUCUGGCCUUCAUGGACCUUCACUCACUGGAGUGGCUCAAGCUGUCCCACAACGACCUCACCCGCCUCACCGAGGACACCGUCCAGCCCAUCCUCGACACCCUCACCAUGAUCGACGUCUCGCACAACCCACUGAGGUGCAGUUGUGACCUGCUGUGGCUGCGGCGAUGGCUCAGCAACCCCAACAACCGCGAGACCAUCAUGUCGAGCGAGGACCACAUCUGCACCACCGACAACCGCAAGUCUCACCCCAUCGAGCACCUGCCAGUCCAUGAGUUCGACUGUCCCAGCACCAUACCCAUCGCGGGGGCCGCCGGCGCGCCUUCCAGAGCCAACCCCAGGACGCCGUGAGCCUCCCGUUAGUUCCGGGACUUUGGACGGCCCCGCCACGCUCACUAAUGCCUGACGACGCUUAGGCGGGGCCCUCCCGAUGGCGCGGCGGUGAUGGUCUGCUCGCCCUUCCUCCUGGCUGCCGGCAUCGCCUCCGUGGUCUUAACGGAAAACACGUGGCAUUAGUCCGCGUGAGCCCCAGGUGCUCGGCCUGUGCCGGGGUGUGGCCUGCGGCGGGGCACCACGCCAAGGGACGCUCUACUUCCUAGCAGGAUAUUUCAUGUUGAUGCACUAAUUACUGGCUACCUUGACAGCCCUCCAUACUGAACACUGUAUCCAUGGGUUGACACGUGACCCAUCCUAACGAAGUGCUUCAAGGAAGUGUGGUGACCAAGUCUGCCUGGUGUUGUGCAAUGGCGCGAGGUUUGCUCUGCGCUGCGCUACCGCCGGGGACGACAACAACAAAACAAUAACAUCAACAACAAUAACAACAACAACAGUAGUUAUAAUAAUAAGAAUGGGUGAUAACCAACUAAAUAUCUUAUGUAUUUUUUCUUCGUUGUUAUACAUUUGUUUUAAUGAUAGAAUCAGGUGGAUGAAGGGCCGUCCCCUAGCGUUGCCCCAACCCUCCCCGUCACGCGCUGGCCUCCGCCGCGGCCCGCCUCCCACCUGGUCAGGUAUACACACCUCGGGCCGGGCGGGCGUGCGACGCGGCGGCGGGCGUCUCGCCAGGCGCCGCGCCGCCACGCCUGCUCCGGAAAAACUGACCAAUAGGUAAUAAGAUAAUAGCUCUUGUCACAGGUAACCUAAGUAACUCGCACAGGUAAUCGCCCCCCCCCCCCCGCCCUGCCCCCCAUCAUCCCACCCUCACCCCCCGUCCCACCACACCCCACACAUGAACGCUAAGUAUUAAUUCGCGUGAUUCAUCCCCUUUCUCACCUCUGUAACUCAUCAACAAACUCAAUCCAUCUCUCCGACACACACACACACACACACACACACACACACACACACACACACAGUCGCGAAUCAAGCACGUGAUCAGUCCACGGUGAAUUUCACACCCAGAGAGACGGAGCGAGUAGGUGUCAGUCGAUCACCGUCUAGGCACACCGAGAGUAUUGAAGCAAGGUUGAGCAGGCGGGAUUCCCUACAUACAAAUGAAAUAUCCAUUACAAAUAAAAAGUAAACAAGAUUGGCGACAGUGAAAUAAACAAUGAUGAGAAGCAAAGAAAAAAUGGCUAAGCGCGUAGUGAGGGCGGCCAGUUUGUUUUGAGGUGACGGCGGGAACACAGGACGCUGCAACUUAACUCCAGUAAGUACAAAGUAAUUCAAAAUGUCUCGAAGCAUUAGAGACAAAAGGAAAGCAAGCGGUCCUGAUGUAAUACUGACCUUUGAGAAAUUUGACGAGAAACCAGAUUGGGAAUAUAAGCCAAGAAAUUUACACUUACAACCAUCACGAAAAGAAAAUAUAUUUUGGUUUGACAAAAAAAAAAGUUAACACUAGUAGAUCAUAUAAAUUUACAAGCAAGGAAUAUGAACGUAUUAUAAGGCCAAUUCUAGAGUAUGCAGCAAUAGUUUGGAAUGCCCAUUUGAAAAUAUAAUAAAAAAAUAAAAAGAUUGAAGGAACACUACAAAGAGAUGCUUUGAGAGGAGUUUCCAGCCUAAGAAAUUUAGCGCUUGAAGAAAUACUAGAAAAGUUAAAUCUGCCAACCCUAGAACAGAGGAGGAGAGGAGAUAUGAAAAUGUUCCAUACGACUGACCCCCCAGAAAAAGAGAAGAUGACGUAAAUUGCUACAUAGCAUAUUGUAAUUAACAUCAAGGAGGCACGUUGGAAAAAUAUUAAAAAAGGGAUGAUAAGAAUGUAAAGAAAUCAGUUUUCCAAAUAAGGAGAAGUGUGUGUUAAAAGCCUUCAUAAAUUUAAAGAAAUGUAUGACAAAAUGGUUUAAAAACUAGGACCAUACAAGCCAUGCUCAAUCCUGUAGAGAUACAAGUAGGUAAGAAAACACACACACACACACACACACACACACACACACACACACACACACACACACACACACACACACACACACACACACA
Eriocheir sinensis (Chinese mitten crab) is the source of this 4049-nucleotide RNA transcript. It is a transcript of the gene named leucine-rich repeats and immunoglobulin-like domains protein 1, with no coding region annotated. NCBI's taxonomy places the organism in Eukaryota, Metazoa, Arthropoda, Malacostraca, Decapoda, Varunidae. The record is from RefSeq and is a predicted model, not a curated record. The transcript is spliced from 13 exons.